Molecule: ribosomal RNA, 496 nt
Filed under: uncultured bacterium
Lineage: Bacteria
Description: bacterial SSU rRNA
Rfam family: Bacterial small subunit ribosomal RNA
Source: RNAcentral
GACGAACGCUGGCGGCGUGCCUAAUACAUGCAAGUCGAGCGGAGUUAGAGAAGCUUGCUUCUCUAACUUAGCGGCGGACGGGUGAGUAACACGUGGGCAAUCUGCCCGUAAGACUGGGAUAACUCCGGGAAACCGGGGCUAAUACCGGAUAAUCCUGACUCUCUCCUGAGAGUCAGUUGAAAGAUGGUUUCGGCUAUCACUUACGGAUAAGCCCGCGGCGCAUUAGCUAGUUGGUAGGGUAAUGGCCUACCAAGGCGACGAUGCGUAGCCGACCUGAGAGGGUGAUCGGCCACACUGGGACUGAGACACGGCCCAGACUCCUACGGGAGGCAGCAGUAGGGAAUCUUCCGCAAUGGACGAAAGUCUGACGGAGCAACGCCGCGUGAGUGAAGAAGGUUUUCGGAUCGUAAAACUCUGUUGUUAGGGAAGAACACGUACGAGAGUAACUGCUCGUACCUUGACGGUACCUAACCAGAAAGCCACGGCUAACUACGUG